Molecule: ribosomal RNA, 484 nt
Filed under: uncultured bacterium
Lineage: Bacteria
Description: bacterial SSU rRNA
Rfam family: Archaeal small subunit ribosomal RNA
Source: RNAcentral
AGUGCCGUCCGCUGAGGGCGGCUUUUCCCCGGUGUAAGGAGCCGGGGGAAUAAGGAGAGGGCAAGUCUGGUGUCAGCCGCCGCGGUAAUACCAGCUCUCCGAGUGGUAGGGAUGAUUAUUGGGCUUAAAGCGUCCGUAGCCGGCCCGGCAAGUCUUCCGUUAAAUCCAACGAUUCAAUCGUUGGACUGCAGGAGAUACUGUUGGGCUAGGGGGCGGGAGAGGCCGACGGUAUUCUCGGGGUAGGGGUAAAAUCCUAUAAUCCCGGGAGGACCACCAGUGGCGAAGGCGGUCGGCUAGAACGCGCUCGACGGUGAGGGACGAAAGCUGGGGGAGCGAACCGGAUUAGAUACCCGGGUAGUCCCAGCUGUAAACGAUGCGGGCUAGGUGUUGGGGCGGCUACGGGCCGCUUCAGUGCCGCAGGGAAACCAUUAAGCCCGCCGCCUGGGGAGUACGGCCGCAAGGCUGAAACUUAAAGGAAUUGGCG